RNAcentral lists this ribosomal RNA (416 nucleotides) under uncultured bacterium. Its description in RNAcentral is "bacterial SSU rRNA". It matches the Rfam family "Bacterial small subunit ribosomal RNA", at positions 64 to 524 of the family's 1533-position model. The record is from RNAcentral.
GAGCGGGCAUCGCAAGAUGUCAGCGGCAGACGGGAGAGUAACACGUGGGAACGUGCCCUUCAGUUCGGAACAACCCAGGGAAACUUGGGCUGAUACCGGAUACGUCCGUAAGGAGAAAGAUUUAUCGCUGAAGGAUCGGCCCGCGUCUGAUUAGCUAGUUGGUGGGGUAAUGGCUCACCAAGGCGACGAUCAGUAGCUGGUAUGAGAGGAUGAUCAGCCUCACUGGGACUGAGACACGGCCCAGACUCCUACGGGAGGCAGCAGUGGGGAAUAUUGGACAAUGGGCGCAAGCCUGAUCCAGCCAUGCCGCGUGGGUGAUGAAGGCCCUAGGGUUGUAAAGCCCUUUCGGCGGGGAAGAUAAUGACGGUACCCGCAGAAGAAGCCCCGGCUAACUUCGUGCCAGCAGCCGCGGUAAU